UCGCUGAAGCCAAAUACGUCUGUGAUAUUUCCAUCAUCGCCUCCACUGUCGUCGACACCAUCCAUGAUCGUUGUCGUCGUCCAGCAGGUGAGUAGUCCUUUCGACGCCAACUGCCGCUGCACAAUUCAACAUAGGCUACUCCAGCAGCCUAAGCAGCUCCAACAAGAGCUUCUCGAGGUCCGGCGGAUGCACACUGGGGGCCAUGGGGGCACCGGCCCCCACUGGAUUUGGGAAAACAAACUAAUUAAUAAGCCCGACGGCCUCUUAAAUUUCUAUUCUAUUGCAUCCGCUAGUCGCGUAACACACCUGCUCGGAGUCGGAACGUUGCCGCCGGCCGCCCAUUCAACGUCUCGUAACAUCUCGCAUCCACUGGUCGCAUAACAUCCAAGCCCGAGCGCUGCAGCCGGCCGCCCAUUCAACGGUGUCCAAGCUUGAAAGCUGCCGCCGGCUGCCCAUCAACGUCGUCCAAGCCUGAACGCCACCGGUCGCCCUCUUCAGUGCCCAACGCCCUGGAUAAAAAAUUAAGGCGACAAUGGAGAGGCAAAGAGCCCAAAGUGUGAGGAAGAAUUUAAAAAAAAAAAAAGUGUGAGGAAGAAUUCAAAACCAUCUCUCUCUUGAAGUGGGGAGAAGCAUGAAGAGGAGUGCAUCUGACUGGGAUCUCGACGAGCUCUUGUCGGAGCUAAUAAAGCUGGUGGAGUUUCCACCAUCGCAUGGUGCAACAGAGGGUGUGGUAAUCAACAUAGCCCUUUGGCAACAUCAAAGGGACAAUUCACCUGCUAGAUGACGCAGAAGAUUAUAGGUGUUGUCUGCGACAGUGGAGAUGAUGAUGGAAAUAUCACAGACGUAUUUGACUUCAGCAAUGGAGUAAGCAAUAGGUAAUAGUUAAGUUCUACCAUCUUGCCCAAUUAUACAAUUUGUUUACUAUUUUUUUAUCAGAUCCAGUAGAGAUUAUCAAAGAAUGUGUAAAGGUUGUUCAAACACCUUUUGCUAGCUUUGAAGAGUCGUACUUAAUAAUCUGAACAAGAGUAACCUUUCAA
Molecule: long non-coding RNA, 1037 nt
Organism: Dendrobium catenatum
Lineage: Eukaryota; Viridiplantae; Streptophyta; Magnoliopsida; Asparagales; Orchidaceae
Exons: 3
Source: RefSeq, a predicted model, not a curated record